AUACGGAGGGUGCAAACGUUGUUCGGAAUCACUGGGCGUAAAGGGCGCGCAGGCGGCUUGAUUAGUCAGAUGUGAAAGCCCACGGCUUAACCGUGGAAGUGCAUUUGAAACUGUCAGACUUGAGUACCGGAGGGGGUAGUGGAAUUCCCGGUGUAGAGGCGAAAUUCGUAGAUAUCGGGAGGCAUACCGGUGGCGAAGGCGACUACCUGGCUGGAUACUGACGCUGAGGCGCGAAAGCGUGGGGAGCAAACAGAAUUAGAAACCCCGGUAGUCC
This 274-nucleotide ribosomal RNA is filed under the name uncultured bacterium. RNAcentral describes it as "partial 16S ribosomal RNA". It matches the Rfam family "Bacterial small subunit ribosomal RNA", at positions 523 to 796 of the family's 1533-position model. The record is from RNAcentral.